CCGGCACGGGUGAGUAACACGUAUCCAACCUGCCGUCUACUCUUGGACAGCCUUCUGAAAGGAAGAUUAAUACAAGAUGGCAUCAUGAGUCCACAUGUUCACAUGAUUAAAGGUAUUCCGGUGGACGAUGGGGAUGCGUUCCAUUAGAUAGUAGGCGGGGUAACGGCCCACCUAGUCUUCGAUGGAUAGGGGUUCUGAGAGGAAGGUCCCCCACAUUGGAACUGAGACACGGUCCAA
This 237-nucleotide ribosomal RNA is filed under the name uncultured bacterium. RNAcentral's name for it is "partial 16S ribosomal RNA". It matches the Rfam family "Bacterial small subunit ribosomal RNA", at positions 100 to 334 of the family's 1533-position model. The record is from RNAcentral.